GCAUGGGUUUGGAUUUAUGACAGGCCCGUCCCCCUGGGCCUGUCAUAGUACCCCAUGCCAGAGCAAACUGUCCCUGAACCAUUGCCUGGCCUCUGUGCCUGUAGGCUGCUGGCACUGAAGUGGGUUGCACAGUG
This 134-nucleotide small nucleolar RNA is filed under the name Macaca nemestrina (pig-tailed macaque). RNAcentral's name for it is "Small nucleolar RNA SNORA42/SNORA80 family (ENSMNEG00000021791.1)". It matches the Rfam family "Small nucleolar RNA SNORA42/SNORA80 family". Rfam says of the family: The members of this family belong to the H/ACA class of snoRNAs that guide the sites of modification of uridines to pseudouridines. Human ACA42 (SNORA42) was cloned from HeLa cells by immunoprecipitation with anti-GAR1 antibody. Its is predicted to guide the pseudouridylation of residues U109 and U572 of 18S rRNA. The record is from Rfam by way of RNAcentral. Lineage: Eukaryota; Metazoa; Chordata; Mammalia; Primates; Cercopithecidae.